RNAcentral lists this long non-coding RNA (248 nucleotides) under Medicago truncatula (barrel medic). Its description in RNAcentral is "long non-coding RNA (MTRU_LNC003493)". Lineage: Eukaryota; Viridiplantae; Streptophyta; Magnoliopsida; Fabales; Fabaceae. The record is from RNAcentral.
GCGUCGUGGUCGGUGAUUAUGAUUCGAACAAGCUUUCUUUUGGGUUUUCUCUUUGUUUUGGUUGAUGGGUUUUCUUCAAAAAUUGAACUUGGUGUUGAUAGCUUCAGCUUCUGCAAAGACAUGGUAAAGAUAGUGAGUUUUUGUGGGUUUUAAGGUUUAUGUUUGAGGGUUUUUGUGGGUGUUAAGGUUGUUUGAGUGAAGUGAGAGAGUAAAAAGAAAGAGUUUUUGUUUGCAUGAAGGAUUGGAAG